CCUGGCGGCGAUAGCGCGGUGGUCCCACCUGACCCCAUGCCGAACUCAGAAGUGAAACGCCGUAGCGCCGAUGGUAGUGUGGGGUUUCCCCAUGUGAGAGUAGGGAACUGCCAGG
Molecule: ribosomal RNA, 115 nt
Filed under: Pectobacterium aquaticum
Lineage: Bacteria; Pseudomonadati; Pseudomonadota; Gammaproteobacteria; Enterobacterales; Pectobacteriaceae
Also listed under: 1 other name
Source: RNAcentral